Numida meleagris (helmeted guineafowl) is the source of this 6480-nucleotide long non-coding RNA. RefSeq lists it as uncharacterized. NCBI's taxonomy places the organism in Eukaryota, Metazoa, Chordata, Aves, Galliformes, Numididae. The record is from RefSeq and is a predicted model, not a curated record. The transcript has 4 exons.
CAGCGCCCUGCCCUGGUGCUGUGUGGGGGUUUGCUGUCUCUCCUGCCCCACAAGCUUCUUCUGGUGUGUGUGUUAGGGUUUAAGGGCUUUGCUUAGAGCUGGUGCGUGGUUUAGUUGUACAUCUUUUUCCUAAAACUUCUCCUAGUACCCAACCUGAGUGAUCCCUGGUGCGACUUAAGGCUGUUACCUCUCAUCCUAAACAGAAAGCUUAAGGGAGACCUCGCACCAGCUGUGCAUACGGGGACGUCAAGGCAAAAAACAAGAGAUACCGUCUGACUAUGAGAAAUAUUUUCACCAUUUGCCCAGAGAGGCUUUGCAUCUAUGUAUGAUGUGUACCGAAGGUAAACCAUUUUGUGUGUUUACAUCAUGCUACAAACUGGUAGUAGUGCAUUACAUGUUCUCAGACAGGUGGCACCAGAUUCUCUCCAAUAUUCUGGUGUGUGGUGAAUAUAUAGACAGCCAAAUGAAAGCAAAUGCUGUUAAAAGUGCAUGCUUCUGACCUGAAAAACAGCAGUCCUUUACCAGAGACGAAGUGGCUUUGUGGUACCAACUGAUGAAAAAGCUAUUUAUGACUGAAAUUAGAACGACCUUCUACUUGAUUUUGCAUUGCAAAAUACAUAUUACAACAACAGUUACUUAAAGCCAAAAUGUAUCAUCUUUUUAUUUCCCAUUCUUGUAUGGAAAAUGGAGGUUCUUGUAGCACAACUGCUCCUACAUACUGGGCUUCCACAUUUGUCCACUACUGACUCAGACAAUAUUACCUUUUUUAUUGCUGACGCUUUCUGCAGUGUCCUGGGUUUUCUUGGCAAGUGUCUCAUCCAAAUCACGACUGAUUUUUGGACCCUGCUUCAUUCCUUCAUUUCACAAACUGCUGCCUAUGGUGACAAAACAGCAGGUAAUGCUGCAUUGUAAUGAAGAAAUGCUAUAAAACUGCCUCGUGGGAAGUACAGAAUUGGUUAUACCAUUCCUAUUCUGGAUACACAUUUAUCCUAGAAAUUUAUUUUCAUUCUCUUUCCAUUUUUUUUUUUUUUUUGGCUUUUGGGUUCCUAACAUAAACUCUCAAUUUCUACUAAUGUACUUAUUCUCCUCUAGCUGAAACAUAAAAGGAAAUUAAAGGACCCGUUUUGGAGAAAACUAAAGAUUUUUUCCCCCUCUGCUCCAUUAGAUUAGCACUCUGAGGCUGUAGAGCUUUGAUACAAGGUUUUUUUUUUUUUUUUUUUUGAUAGAAUAAACAGGAAUGUUGCCUUUAAUUCAAAACCGCCCAUUUGUCACGUAGCAGUAGGGAGGUCAACCUCUUUUGCAGUUUAUUUCAUUCUUCUGAUCAAAGUUCUCUUGUUCCCAGGAAGUGGGAAAUUAAAUUGGAUAUCUGUGAAAACGAAGACGUAAUCUUACCACUCCUUCAUAUGAACAAGUAAUCUAGGGUCACUUCUGCCCUCCUCCGUGGCAGACGUCACGUGAAAUGUUGUCAUCUUCACAAACUCUACCUUCUAUCUUUAAUACAGUUCAGUGCUACAAUUAGCAGACAGUUCCUAGGUGCAGGUAGCGCUUGGUCCUUGAAAGUUUAAUGGGAGUAUGCCAGUGUGUGUGUUGACACUGAUGUGCAUGUGGGAGUACCAAAUCCUCAAAGGCACUGGGGAUGUUGGGUAUAAUUCCCAGUAUCACCUAAAUGAUACAAGACAGGUUAUUUAUUUAUUUACUUAUUUUGGCAUGAAAAGGACCGGCGAAUGCUGAAGUACAUAGGCUUUGGAAGUGCUUUGUGUAAAUGUAAGCUUGAUUUUCACGCGAAGCUGAUCAAACUGAUGUCCAUGAAGGAGCUGUGUGCGAGAAUUUUAAACAGCUCCCGCUUUUUAAUAUUCACUUCCUCUUUGGUUUUAAUUAUUUUGUUCCUACGUUUUCCCUUUCAAUUUACUAAAAAUCUAGAAAUGUAAUUAGAGAGAGGCUGAACUCAGAGAAAGCUGCCAGCAUUUCUACAUCAUGAUUAAAUGUAUCAGCCAUCCCUUUAGUGAGAGACUGAAAAACAGGAUUCUCAUAAUUAUCUCCCUGUUAUCCAGGAAAGAAUCUGCAACACGUACAGAUACAGAGUUAUUGAAAAUGCAGCACUAAUUAAAAUCUCAUAUAGGCUUCUGAUGAUCAGGAGAGUAUGAAAACACAGUUAUUUAAUUAUUUCCCAUAUUUGCUAUCUUUGUUACAAAAACAAACAAAACCAUUCUAAGCAAAAUCCAUCUCCAGUCACUGGGGAGACUUAAUGAGGCUUUUAUAUAUGCAACAGCCAAAGAAAUACUGCGAGUUACUUGAUUCACUUCUUAUGCUGAUGAGAAAUCCAUGAAGCACAUUUUCCACAUGCAAUGCGGAAGGAACGCUGUGGUGCCUUCCCAAGAAGUAAUAGAAUCAUUUAUUGGCGGAAGGGCAUGGUUAGUGUUUGAUUUAAGAUGUAAAAAGAAUAUUGGUCUCAUCGACUUCACGUUAUUUCAUCGUGAAAUAGUAAUAUCUGUGCCAUAGCCAUUUAAAAAUGGAAUAGGUUAUCCCUCCGGUCUGACUUCUGCUGAGGUAUCUUCCUCCUCUUGAAAAUGUCAUGCUCUCUCCGAGCCCAGUACAAAGCCGACAUUGUUAUUUAUCGUGUCGAAGGAGCCUAAGCUUUGGCACUAGCAGAACACACUAGAGAACAGUAAGUGCUGAUGUGGAUGGUGAUGAAAGGCAAAGCUUCUGAGAUACAGGCUUCUUUGAACCGAGCAUGUCUGAGGAUUCACCAGGGACAGGAAACUGGGUUUUUUUUCUUCUCAAUCGCUUUUCCUCAAAAAUUAAUUUGCAACAGAAUAGCAAAUACGGAGCUAGACAGAGUCCACUACUCCAACUUUUCCUUAACUAAGAAUCAAAUCAUACUGAAGACAUUUUUCAAGCUGUUGGACCAAUUAACUAAUCCUCAGUUGCACCGAGUGGGAAGGUACAGAGAGAUAAUUGUACAAAAGACUUGGGAGUCCAGGAUAAGAUUCACUCUGCGGAGCACAAAGUAUGAAUGAGCAUAAAGGGCUCAAAUAGCUGGGGAAGAAAAGAAAAGGUGAAUCAACUAAGAAAAAGGUAGAGGACAAUGAAAAGUGAUGCAAAAGGGAAAAUGUAAAUGCGCAGUUGCAGUCUGGACCUUGCAGGGAAUAACAGCAAUGACUAUUACUGCAUGAAGUUACUGCAGCCAGAAUGGCAGUAACGAGCAUUCCGAUGUUUAAUUUCAUUUGAAGCUGUGCCCAGUUAUUGCUUAGAAAAUUGUUUUCUGGAGAAGUGAUUUCAAGACCAAGCACUCAGAAGUCACGAAGCCUGACCAGAAGCGAGGCUCUCCCUGUGAUAUUUCAGAUGUACUGUACAUAUCUACAGACUAUAGCCUGGUAACAUUAUCCUUAAUCUGAUUUCCUAACGUGACAAAGCUUACGUUGUCUGAUAUUCUGUCUUUCUGCACGAUCCGUCAGUAACUGCUCAUUCUGCACUGUUUUCCAACUACAUUUAGAAAAAGGAGGAGCCUCAGUGCUAUUUUGAUGGAAUGUCAUCAAAGUGGGGGCUGGGUAGAGAAAAGGGAAUGCCAAAGUUCUCUGUGACGUUACACUAUGAAUACUCCAUUUGCAAAAGAUAGAGAAAGCUUAAAUGGGAGCCACAAUCAACCAGAAGCCUCAAAUCCAUGGAAAACUCCGUGGUGUUAAUUCCAACAUUUACAGAACAACGUUCUGAAUGGGCUGUGCUGUCCCUUCCUGUGGCUUGUUAAGUGGGUAGGUGACGCCCGUCAAGAUGGAUGUUCUGUUUUCUCAAUCUCAAGACCAAGAUUUUGUUUUUCCUGCCACGUUCGCUGUAAAACUAAUUAACAAAUUACAGCCUAUCACAUUCGCUAAAUGAGAUCUGCCAAGACCUUGGGAGAAAGUCAUGCUACAGUUCUGAGAAUAACCUCAAUCAGAGAAGGAACUUGCAAAUCUUUCUUGAAAGCAAGUCCAGCUCUUCAAAGCUGAUAAUGAAUAAGAGAGGCAAUAUUUGCCUGGAAAACAGUUAGCAUUGUUCUGAGAAGUGAUUUUAAGAAGUUUAGCUAAUGAGUGUCAGGCGAUCAAACUGCCAGGAGAUACAAACUCAGCUGCCUGCUUUACCCGUGACCACAGAAGAUGGAGAUAAUGAUCUCUGCUGUUUAAGUGUACAUGGGGGCUGAGAUUUUAUGGCCUUGGAACGUUUAAUUUCUCCAGCCUGAAAUGCCAUUUGCAUUUUAAUUUUUUCCUUAAAAUAUUUGAAACUGUAAACACCUCAUUGCGCAGUGACACCCAGCUGCAGCAGCAGCUUCAGUCUGAGGUAAUUACUUUUCUUCCUGUUCUUUGCAUGCAUCUUCUCACCACUGCUGAAAUGCUGUUAGUUAUGGACUGCAACUCUAAGGACGCGUUACGAGAAGACGUAUUUCAAACACACAUCCACUCCCUGCUGCCCUGACAAACUCUCCACGUGCUGAAAUGGGGCUCCAAAGCUGGCCGUGUUUUCCCCAGUAGGUGGCUGAUUCCCGUGUACUUUUAGCCUGAGAAAUCCGAUAGGAAUUCUUGUUUCCUUUGCAAGAGCGUGCGGAGGCCUGCGUGUUACGCUCACGUAACCACUGAGCCUUAACUGAGUGGCACAGAACAGCUCCCAGUUGUACCUGAACAUUUACCAUUAGGGUGGUGGGGUUUUUUUUAGUAGCAUCUUUAAGAUUGGUAACUCGUUGAUUUCAAAGCAGCACUUCGUUAAGUAACUCCAUUAACCCUUAAACUGUUAUUGAUGUGUAUUAACUAACCUGUGAGCAGCAGAUUACCAGUGUUAAACACUUACACGCACACGCAGUACCACCCAACUUAUUCUACAUGCGCUCUAAACAUUGUUUUAAAACAAUCUGUUGGAAUUGCAGAGGGAACUCAUAAAUGCAAGGAAGAUGAAAGAGAAAGCAGCUGCCAAGCCUUCCCCCCUGUGAACACCAAGUCUCAGAUAGGUCUUUUUCUAAGGCACUUGAAUUCAAGUCCUACUCGACUGAUUUCCCUUCUCCUCAGAGAAAGGCCACUCAUCUGCUAAUGAAGGAGCAAGCCUCAAGAUUUCGCGUUAGUAACUCCUUGGCAAGUCAGCUCCAGCUAAAAACAUUAUACAGUGAGUGUUUGUAACAUCUUGACUGCAAAGAGCAAGUGCUUACACCUAAGAUUUCAUUCUGGAAAAUAUUCCACUAUCACAAUAAAGCUAUUGCUUGGAGCUGGGGAAAGAAAAGCAAGUGACAAAUCAAGCACAAAAGCCUAGAUAUAUACCUACCUAUACAAUCAUUAUUUUUUAAUUCAACUAGAUUUGCACUUAGUUUCUCUCUGAUAAACCGAGGAAUAUCUAAAAAAGCAGAGACAUGCAAACCAAUGCCUGGGUGCUGCGCUUUAAUCCUUGAGACCUCUACACUGCUGAUGAGUUUAUAGCCCAUGCUACCACAAAAUACCUCUUAUAAGCAAAACACAACUGGACAGCAGUAGUUAAGUUAAAGAUUCCUUUGCACAGCCUUACACUAGGUGUUAAGCAGUAUCUAGAAAACCUAGAAUAAGUUGUGUUUUGUAGGUUACUAAUCUCUUAGUUGAGGAUGGAAAGCCUUUCCUACACUUCAUCAGAAAUCCAAGCACUGAGAUUGAAUUUCUGCCUCCUGCCCUCUGGUUGAAGGCACUUCCACUGUUUAUAAAAAAAGAACAAAGCCAACAACACAGCUUAAACAGCUAUUCCUCUGCAAAAGGUGCCUCCAAGAGGAACUAACACUUCUAAUAAUAAAAAGUAACACAGGAUGAAAACUUUAUUAGGUAGAAACCCCAGUUCCUUUGGAGUUCCCUUGUAUUUAUCUGGAGAUAGCUGAAGUCAAGCAGGAACAUACAGCAGAAGCCACCAGGCAGGCUUCUGAGAAUGUGGUAAUCAGUCUGUCACUGGGGAGAGCUGCUGCAGCAGUCCUCCUGGCAGCUCAAAGCUGGAGACCUGUUCUGUGGCAGCGCUGCUAAAACCAGCCAAGAAAAAAAGCCAGUGCUGAUUUGAAAAUAGCUUCUUGAAUUGCUUUUGCAGCCUCCUCUGGGAUCUCACAGUACAUGAGGUCUGGAGCAAAGACAGCAAGCUGUCCAAGGAAAUCCAAAAGAUUCAGACUCAAGGUUAGCACAAGAGCCGACUUAAAGAAUUUCUUACUUAGAUGUGGAGGUGCAGCAAGAACCAAGUUGGAGCCAUACCAGGAAUAGGCUUUAGAGCUAAAGUGGGUCAAGGCAGCCUGAGGAAUCAGGAGAGAAAAUCUCCUUUAUUUUCUUCCUUCUUGGCAGACUGAUCCUUAUAUCUGUGCUCCGAAUACAGACAAGUUGAAGAUACUGGUAAAGACAAAUCUUGGCUUAGAAAAUAGGUCCUCGAAAGCUCCCAGCUUUUUAAUUUCUGCUGGUCCUCCAGGGGGGUUGAGCAGAACAUCCCUUGAGCCCACGGCAGCUUCUUUUCCAUGGUUAAGGAAUC